GAAGCAUCUCGCUGUUAAACGCUCUCUGGUGUCCUCUCAUCAUCACCGGCAGCAGCAGCCUCAGCAGCCCCGCCUCGCUCACGCGAACCGCUGGGCUGGUUCACCUCCAACAACACAAGCCCACAUCUGGCUGUCACACACACACACACACACACACACACACAUACAUACACAGCAGUGCAGAGCAGCUCCGACCGGUACCGCGCGGCAUGCGUACACUCACACACCGGGACACACGGAGUGGACUUUAAUCAGAGCGGCGCUAUGGCUGAGGUGCGAAAAUUCACAAAGAGGUUAAGCAAACCGGGCACGGCCGCGGAAGUGAGGCAGAGCGUGUCGGAGGCUGUGAGGAGCACCGUGGACCUUGUGGAGCAGCCAAAGAUCAUUGAACCACUGGACUAUGAAGCUGUGGUAUUUCAGAGAAAGGCCCAGAUCCACAGUGACCCCCACAGAGACCUGCUGCUCUGCCCUGUCGACGAUGUCUCGGAGUCCCAGAUCGCCCGGCAGAGGAGGACUAUUGUUCCCUCCGUGCCUCAGAAUGCUGAGUGGGAGGCCAGGAGUCUGUUUGCCAAAGAGUGCAUCAAGAUGUACAACACCGACUGGCAUGUCAUCAACUACAAAUAUGAGACUUACUCUGGCGACUUCCGCAUGUUGCCCAGCAAAGGCCUGAAGACAGACAAGCUGCCGGCUCACGUGUUCGAGAUUGAUGAAGACGCCAAAGACGAGGAUUCGGCAUCGCUGUGCUCCCAGAGGGGAGGAAUCAUGAAGCAGGGCUGGCUUCAGAAAGCCAACAUCAACAGCAGCCUGUCUGUCUCCAUGAGGGUGUUUAAAAGGAGGUACUUCUACUUGUCUCAGCUCCCAGACGGCUCCUACAUCCUCAACUCCUACAAGGAUGAGAAGAACUGCAAGGAUACUAAAGGAUCCAUCUACCUGGAUUCCUGCAUAGAUGUUGUCCAGAGCCCCAAGAUGCGGCGUAAUGGCUUCGAACUGAAGAUGCAAGACCGCUACAGCCAUUUUCUGGCAGCAGACAGCGAGGCAGAAAUGGAGGAAUGGGUGGUCACUCUGAAACAGGCUCUGCAGAGCAGCACUGAGGCCAGCCAGGACCGGAGGAAUGGUGCCGAGACACUGGACUGCACCCUGGAUGAUGACACCACCAGCCAAGGUAAAGGCGAGAGCCUGCUGGAGAGUCUGGGGAGGAGCUUACACCCUGAACUUAUGAAGUAUGCCAGGGAGACAGACCAGCUCAAUAAAAUCAACAGGAAUGAUGGCAGGCAAAAGCUUUUCUCUCUGGAUCCUGAGACACAGAGGCUGGACUUCUCAGGCAUCGAGCCAGAUGUGAAGCCAUUUGAGGAACGCUUUGGCCGGCGUAUCGUGGUCAGCUGCCAUGACCUGACCUUCAGUCUGCAGGGCUGCGUCAGCGAGAAGGGCGAUGGCGUCCUCACCAACGUGGAACCAUUCUUCAUCAGCCUCGCUCUCUUCGACGUCUCCAAGAGCUGCAAAAUCUCUGCUGACUUUCACAUCGACCUCAACCCGCCCUGCGUCAGGGAGAUGUUGACCGACGCCUCGGGCCAGCUCUCUCCUUCAUCUGACUCAGACGGUGGUGGAGGUGGAGGAGCUGUGAGGGAGGGAGGAGGGGGAUGUGGAAUCAUGGUGAACGGAGACUCUGGGAAAGGGAACGGCCUGCCAGCUCUUCAGAGGGUGUCGGAGGCUCUGCUGCGCUUCCCAACACAGGGUAUCUUUUCAGUGACCAACCCUCAUGCAGACAUCUUCCUGGUGGCCCGUGUGGAGAAGGUGUUACAGAACGGCAUCACACACUGUGCCGAGCCAUACAUCAAGACCUCCGACACCAACAAGAACGCUCAGAAGGUGCUCAAGGCUGCCAAGCAGACAUGCCAACGCUUGGGCCAGUACAGGAUGCCAUUUGCCUGGGCUGCCAAGCAGGUGUUCAAAGACGCUCAGGGCAGCCUGGACAUGGAUGGUAAGUUUUCACCUCUCUACCGCCAGGACAGCAGCAAAAUCUCCACUGACGACAUCAUCAAGCUGCUGGCCGACAUCAGGAAACCUGAGAAGAGCAAACUUCAGGCCAUCCCUGGACAGCUGAAUGUCACCAUUGAGUGUGUCCCACCUGACUUCUCAAAUACGGUGACUUCUUCUUACGUUCCCGUCAAGCCCUUCGAGGACGGCUGCGAGCGGGUGUCAGUGGAGAUCGAGGAGUUUCUCCCUGAGGAGGCCAAGUACAACUACCCCUUCACCACCUACAAGAACCAGCUCUACAUCUACCCCCUGCAGCUCAAAUACGACAACCAGAAGACUUUCACCAAGGCUAGAAACAUUGCAGUAUGCAUGCAGUUCCGAGAUUCAGAUGACGAAGGUGCAGCCCCUUUAAAGUGCAUCUACGGCAAGCCGGGAGACUCACUCUUCACCAGCAGCACCUACGCAGCUGUCCUGCACCACAACCAGAGCCCAGAAUUCUACGACGAGGUGAAGAUUGAGCUGCCGGUGCACAUGCACGAGAAACACCAUGUCCUCUUCACCUUUUACCAUAUCAGCUGUGAGUCCAGCAGCAAGGCGAGCAGCAAGAAGCGAGAGGGAGUCGAGUCGCUGGUGGGUUAUUCCUGGAUGCCUUUGCUAAAAGAUGGGAGGAUGCAGUCAGUCGAGCUCCAGCUGCCUGUAGCAGCCACCUUGCCCCCUGGAUAUCUAUGUCAGGACACCAGGAAGUCCCAACCAGAUAUCAAGUGGGUGGAAAAUGCCAAGACACUGUUCAAAGUGAGGACCCAUGUAGCAUCAACCAUAUAUGCUCAGGACCUGCAUCUACACAAUUUCUUCCAGCACUGCCAGCUGAUGAGGACGACAUCAGAGGGCAACCCAGCUGAACUUAUCAAAUACCUGAAGUGCCUGCAUGCCAUGGAGACGCACGUAAUCAUCAAUUUCCUGCCAACGGUGCUGAUGCAGCUGUUUGAGGUUCUCACAGCAGCAACCAAAGAGUCUCAUGAGAUUGCUGUCAACUCUCUGCGUGUGAUCAUACAUAUAGUCUCCAGAUGUCACGAGGAGGGCCUGGAACACUACCUGCGUUCUUUUGUCAAGUACGUGUUUGUGACCAACAACCCUGCAUCAGGAAACUCAGCGGCCACUCAUGAGGUGCUGGCUACCGCUGUCACAGCCACUCUGAAGCAAACUGCUGAUUUCAACACCAGCAACAAACUGCUCAAGUACUCCUGGUUCUUCUUUGAAACCAUGGCCAAAUCCAUGGCCCAAUAUCUGCAAGAGGGCAACCGGAUAAAGAUGCCACGUGCCCAGCGUUUCCCUGACAGUUUCCACCAGGCGCUUCAGUCGUUGGUGUUGUCUAUCAUGCCACACAUCACCAUCCGCCACAUGGAAAUCCCAGAGGAAGCUCGCUGCAUCAACCUGAGCCUGGCCAAUUUCGUCAAGAGAUGCCUGACCGUCAUGAACAGGGGCUUUGCCUUUGGCCUGGUCAACCACUACAUGUGUCAUUUCGGACUCAAAGAUCCCAAGGUGCUGACUGAAAUGAAGUUUGAUUUCCUGAUGACAGUAUGUAAUCACGAACACUUCAUCCCGCUCAACCUGCCCAUGGCUUUUGGGCGCACCAAGCUGCAGAGGGUACAAGAUUUUAUUCCGUAUGCGACGGAGCUUUUUGGCCCUGUAGAGCAGAGUCUGGAGUUCAGCCUGACGGAGGAAUACUGCCGUAACCACUUUCUGGUCGGUCUGCUGCUGAGAGAAGUGGCCGAGGCCUUGCAGCAGGGGCCCGAGGUCAGGCAGCUGGCUGUGAGCGUUCUCAAAAAUCUCCUUAUUAAACACGCCAUGGAUGACCGCUACACAGCGUUCAAGAACCAGCAGGCCAGGAUCUGUUUGCUCUACCUGCCACUUUUGGAGCUGCUCUACCAGAACUUGAAGCAACUGUCUGCCCAGCCAUACACCUCCAGCUCAGGGCUAGGCCUCAAUGGCUCCAGAGAUGACCUGAUAACAACCGGCUCCGCAGACAGCAGGAGAAUCAGCACUGCAAUAGAUAAAGACCACGGUCUGCCUGCUCAGAAUGGCCAUGUUGUGAGGAGAGAGGACUCCAGAGGCUCUCUGUUUAUGGACCCAGGAACACCAGACAGCAUUGAGCUGCAGAGACGUGGCUCCACUAUGAGUUGCAGCACCAUGCCUCCCAUCGGCAGACUGGGACAAUAUGAGAUCAAGGGCCUCCUGCUCUCCUUCCUGCACAUCGUCAAGACUCUGUCAGAGGACACUCUCAAUGCUUACUGGAACAAAGUCAACCCUCAAGACAUCAUGAACUUCCUCAGUUUGCUCGAGGUCUGUCUGGUUCAGUUUCGGUACAUCGGAAAAAGGAACAUUGGCCGGAGUCAGGAGGUGUGUGUGUCGAAGCUGUUUUCCUCAGACAGAAAGUCUCAGACGAUGCCGGUUAUGCGCUGCAAUCGAGCCAGCCUCAUGCAGACUAAGAUCCACCAGUUCAGCACCAUGGAAGCGUCCUUCACUCUCAACAUAGGCACAGGUCCAUCAGAAGCCGAAAUCCACCACCAGGCUCUGCUGGAGGGCAACAUCGCCACCGAAGUCUGCCUGAGUGUCCUGGAUGUCCUCUCUCUUUUCACUCAGUGUUUCAAGACCCAGCUGCUGGACAGCGAAGGUCACAACCCCCUGAUGAAGAAGGUGUUUGACGUUUACCUGACCUUCCUUAAAGUCAGCCAGUCAGAAGCUGCUCUCAGACACGUUUUCUCCUCCCUUAGGGCUUUCAUUAACAAGUUCCCGUCGGUGCUGUUCAAGGGCCGCGUGACACUGUGCGAGGCUCUGUGCUGCGAGGUCCUCAAGUGCUGCGUCUCCAAGCUGGGCUCUCUGAGGGCCGAGGCGUCAGCCCUGCUCUACCUCCUGAUGAGAAACAACUACGAGUACACCAAGAGGAAGACCUUCCUACGCACGCACCUGCAGAUCAUCAUCGCUGUCAGCCAGCUGAUCUCCGAUGUGGCACUGACUGGCAGUUCACGCUUCCAGGAGUCUCUCUCCAUCAUCAACAACUUUGCAAACAGUGACAAGGCCAUGAAGUCCACGGCGUUCCCCUCUGAAGUGAAGGGUCUGACCAAGCGGAUCCGUACAGUGCUGAUGGCCACAGCCCAGAUGAGGGAGCAUGAGAAAGACCCGGAGAUGCUGCUGGACCUCCAGUACAGCCUGGCCCGGUCCUACGCCAGCACCCCUGAGCUGAGACGAACCUGGCUGGACAGCAUGGCCCGAGCACAUCUGAAGAAUGGAGAUCUUUCUGAGGCUGCCAUGUGUUACGUGCAUGUGGCUGCACUGGUCGCCGAAUACUUACACAGGAAAAAGUUGUUCCCCAGCGGCCUCGCAGCUUUUAAGAGGAUUACCUUAAAUAUUGAAGAAGAAGCCGCCAUGAGGGAAGACACCGGAAUGCAAGAUGUGUAUUAUACUGAGGAAGUCCUGGUCGAGCACCUCGAGGUCUGUGUGGAGCAACUGUGGAAAGCUGAGCGCUAUGAGCUCAUCACACACAUUGCCAAGCUCAUUAUCCCCAUCUAUGAGAAACGUCACGAGUAUGAGAAACUGAGCAGACUGUACGACACUCUGCACAGGGCCUACAAUAAGAUAAUGGAGGUGAUACAAUCGGGCCGCAGACUGCUCGGGACAUACUUCAGAGUGGCUUUUUAUGGACAGGGCUUCUUCGAGGAGGAGGAUGGGAAGGAGUACAUUUACAAAGAGCCCAAACUCACUGGCCUGUCUGAAAUCUCCCAGCGCCUGUUGACACUCUACGGAGAAAAGUUUGGGCCAGAAAACGUCAGGAUACUUCAGGACUCAAACAAGGUUAAUCCCAAAGACCUGGACCCCAAGUUCGCCUACGUACAGGUGACGUUUGUCAAACCGUACUUCGAGGAGAAAGAGGCACCAGAAAAGAAGACCGACUUUGAGAAGUGCCACAACAUCAACCGCUUUGUGUUCGAGACGCCUUACACGCUGUCGGGCAAAAAACAUGGAGGCGUGGAGGAGCAGUGCAAGAGGAGGAUCGUGCUCACAACCUCCAACACCUUCCCAUAUGUGAAGAAGCGCGUGGAGGUUGUGGGGGAGAAGCAGGUGGAGCUCAAGCCGGUGGAUGUGGCCAUAGAUGAGAUGAAGGCGCGGACGGCGGAGUUAACCAAGCUCUGCUCCAACCAGGAGGUGGACAUGAUCCAACUGCAGCUCAAACUGCAGGGCUGCGUCUCAGUGCAGGUGAACGCAGGUCCCAUGGCCUAUGCCAGGGCAUUCCUAGAUGACAGCAAAUCAAACCAGUCAGGCAACAAGAAAGUAAAAGACCUUAAGGACAUUUUUCGGCGUUUUGUCGAGGCGUGCAGUAUGGCUCUGGACAUAAAUGAGCGUCUGAUCAAGGAGGACCAGUUUGAGUAUCACGAGGGCCUGAAGUCCAACUUCAAAGAAAUGGUAAAGGAGCUAUCAGACAUCAUCCAUGAGCAGCUGUGGUGUCAUAGCGUGCACUGAAGUGACAGGAGGUGGUGCAGAAAUGAAGAACUAGGAUGUUGUAACAGCAGAAACAACAGCUGAUCUACCAGGAGGAUAUGAUGCGCUCGCUGUUACAAAACUCCCUCCAUGUGUUCCGCGCCAUCAGCGGGACAUCCACCGACCUGGGCUGACCUCUGCCCGGCUGGCAUCCAUCCUCAUGUAUAUCCUCUCACUUUUCCCUCAAAGACCUGAAUGAUGACAGGGGUGACUCGAACUCCUCUUGAUGGCUGCCGAGCUACGCUUGCCAAAACACCCCCCUGCCACCAGUGCAGCAUUUGGACAUAAUAUUCAAACCCCAGCAGCAGUAUUUCUCAGAAUGUAUUGCACCAACACUGACUAAUUGUCAACAUGUCAGGAAUGGGCGUUCUGCUGUGUCACGCUGGGUUGCAAUGCACUUUUUUUCUACCUUUGCGAUAAACUGCCGGAUUGCCUGUUGUUUCUUUACAGGCAGAUUCUGUAUUAAAGCAAUUAUUUUCUUCCAUCUUCUCUCUGCAACGUUGACCCUCCAGAUCUAUGCAGGACACGGCACUCCCUCACAGAAUGUUUUUUUUACAACUUGACUUUUAGAAGAUGAUAGCAUCUCUUCCUCAUACCAUACAGUGUUUUGUUUGGCAAAGCAUUCAUGUUGGGCCAGCACGGUAAAAAAUAUCCCAACAUAACCGGUUCUGUUGCGACAUAAAAAACCAAACCGAAAGCUUUGAGAUUGUCAAGCCAUGGAUCAAGGUGUUUAUAGGCUACCAGUGCAUUCCACCCAGCUUAGCAGAUUGUGAUAAACAAGCUGCUCGCAACAAUUAUAGUCAGCAUAGGACAAUUUUUACAACCCUUUUUGUUCAAAAAUGCCUUCUCAGUCUGUUCCAAAGUUUAAAAAAAAUAGAAGACAGACCUCAGGGUUAUGUUGAAGCUGAGUGGCAGAGCUGCCAGCUCUUAGCAAGGGUUUGUUUAAAAGUAGCUCAGUUACAAUCGUUGGUGUCCCAGACUGUACUGGAGGUAAUAAAUAAUGCCACAGCAGAUAAGAAAAAUUUAAUUCUAUCAGAGUUGUAAAACAAUCACUGAAACAGUAUUCCCUGUGGGCUCAUUGUAUGACCUGCAGACAUCUGAAGUCAGAAGAAGGAUUUGAGGACAAGACACACUGACCACAGCUGUGACAGAUAAUAUUUACUUCAGUGGAGUGAGUUAAGUAAAGAGUUUCUCUCAUCUGGGUUAAGAUCCAGUGCCUUUCUGCUCUGCCUUCUGAAAAGACUCCUCCCUCAUCUCAAGUAAUAAGACCUUCAUCACAUGCUGGUUAUUCACAGUAUUUCACAAGUGCUACACUGUAAUUAGCAGAUAGAUGAAUAAUAUUUAAGCAAAUGUACAUAAUUUGUUGUCAUGCUGUAAAGUGAAUUCUGUAUCCAUGUAUGUUUGUACGUACUGUAUGUAUGUAUUUAUAUUUGGAAUAUUUCGGACUCUUGUUCAGUCCAAAUCUGUCCUAGCAGAGAGAAUCUUUUGUUUCAUUUUUAUUGCAUUGUAUACUGAAGUGCAGCUGCUUGUUAAACUUACUUUGUAAAUCCUUUUUCCAAUAAAAUCUGGAAAAAUAA
Molecule: RNA transcript, 8084 nt
Organism: Larimichthys crocea (large yellow croaker)
Lineage: Eukaryota; Metazoa; Chordata; Actinopteri; Sciaenidae
Gene: dock11
Gene name: dedicator of cytokinesis 11
Exons: 55
Source: RefSeq, a predicted model, not a curated record